This 253-nucleotide ribosomal RNA is filed under the name uncultured bacterium. RNAcentral's name for it is "partial 16S ribosomal RNA". It matches the Rfam family "Bacterial small subunit ribosomal RNA", at positions 524 to 776 of the family's 1533-position model. The record is from RNAcentral.
UACGUAGGGGGCAAGCGUUGUCCGGAAUUAUUGGGCGUAAAGAGCUCGUAGGCGGUCUGUCGCGUCGGCUGUGAAAACCCGGGGCUCAACCCCGGGCCUGCAGUCGAUACGGGCAGACUAGAGUGCGGUAGGGGAGACUGGAAUUCCUGGUGUAGCGGUGGAAUGCGCAGAUAUCAGGAGGAACACCGGUGGCGAAGGCGGGUCUCUGGGCCGUAACUGACGCUGAGGAGCGAAAGCGUGGGGAGCGAACAGG